Trachemys scripta elegans is the source of this 5469-nucleotide long non-coding RNA. RefSeq lists it as uncharacterized. NCBI's taxonomy places the organism in Eukaryota, Metazoa, Chordata, Testudines, Emydidae. The transcript has 2 exons. The record is from RefSeq and is a predicted model, not a curated record.
CUAGCCUGGGCGAGCAAUGGAGUUUCUCCAGUCCCCUUGGGGAGUUCUCUGGGAUCUCUCCCCCGGGAGCUGCUCUGUGUGUCGGGUGGGGGAAGAGAGCGGAGAGCUCCAGCUGUGGCUGUCGGAACCAUCCCAGGAGGAAUCGGAUCUCUGCGGAGGUUACUGGGAUAAGAUGAAGGCCUACCUCUGAGGGUGAGGAACCACAGAGAGACAAUGAUUCCAGGAGGUCAAAGAAUGAAAAAAAAAUGGGCAGGAGUGAGGCCCCAGAGACAAAACAAGGGAUCCAGAAGAGGAGACUGAGCAGAGAACCCUGGACAGCAUCCACUGCUUUUCAAAGGAGUCCAAGGAGCCAGUGUACACUUCCCAGAGAAACUCUGUUCAGAGACAUGAGAGAACAGAAAGAGGCCCCAUGGUCACAGCACACCUCCCAGUCAAGUGUCAUCCUCCCGGUCUGGUGGAUGGCCAUCUUGGCCAGCCUCAGGAAGAGGUUGAUGAGAAGGUCUUGAGACUUUGUGGGGCCGUGGAUGGGGUGUGCAAAUACAAGCAGGUAUGGGGAAAAGUGCAGCAGAAACUCAGCAGGAGGUUCUGGAGGAGCGGGGAAAAGGGAUUGCAACCUAGGGCACUUUGCACAGAUGUGCGCCUGGGUCUCCCUGUUGCCUCACAAUGAGCAAGUGUUGGGAAAGUCCUUGAACUAUGCUACAUGCUUGUGCUCACAGGUCCAUGGAGGUUCCACCAGCAUAGAGCCCCAGCGAGCUGUGGGAUUAGGGUGGAGUACAGGCUGGCUUACUGGGUCUCCUCACCCUCUACAGGUGACAGUAGGUUCCCUCCAGGUGGUGUCGGGAUGGGACGCAAGGGGGAGGAAGUGAACAGUGUGGAGCACAAGCAUGUUUGGGGGGUGCAGUUCAGAGAUGGACUGGCAGGAUGGCAUUCAGCCUGCUCGGUGGUGCGUUGGGGUCAGCCAGGGUGAGAGACAACCUCCCCCCUGUGGAAUGGACCAAACUAAAGUUUGAACCUUAAAACCCUGGAGCUUCAGAAAAGUUUGGAUCUGGAUGCAAACUCAGGCUUUGAGGUUUUCACAUAGCCUGUGUGAUGGGAAAUAGUUGGAAGAAAUGGUUUAGGGCAGUACAAGCGGAUAGAAGUAGCCACAGUGGGUUGAAAUGAGGAAUUGGAAGAAUGUCCUAACUGAGAAUUCUAUCCUGGCAUGGUGUAGUCUCUGAAAGGAAAUGGUGGAAGCCUUUCCUCUGCACCCCACAUUCAAGGGCCAGACAGGGAAAGUGCUUUGUGAAUGCCUCCUCUCCCAUUUGUGAUUGCACCAUGUCCCUGUGGCUAAUACAGCACUCACUCCGACGGAAAAGUAGUUAGUUAUUUUUAAUCAGACCCUGAGGGCAGUUCCUGCUUCCAGCGGCUGCUGGUGGAGACAUCUAGGCUGGCUCAUUUUCCUUGUUUCCAGCUGCUUUUAAAGGCAUCCAGGGAGGCUCCUCUUUGUCUGGACAUCUUUAGAAGCCACUGGAAACAGGAGAUGGAGCCAGCACUAUAUGUGACCACCUGCCACAGAUCUCCAGCAAAGUUCUCCAUGGAGCACCAGAGUUCCACAAACUGCUGUAGGUAACAAUCCUGCAUCAACAUGACAGGUUGUACCAGGGCUGCCAGAAGGUGAGAGCCUCAAGUCUCUGUCACAGGUGGGUACAAUCUGCCCAGGAUGGGGCUUCAUACUGAGUUUGGGUUUUUUGCGUGGGCUCAUUUGUUGUUACUGUCCAUUUCUGAUCUGGUGGUAUGCUGCUAGAUAGUAUGAUGCCAUUUCUGCCAUGUCUUUCCUUUUACCCAGGGAUGGACACAGUUUUUUCCUCUUUACUUUCAGAGCUUGGAGUGGCAUUGCUUUUUUUGGGUGGACACUGAUAUAUUUCUCUAGAAAGCUGAAAUCCUUAAUGUUGGUAUUGUUAUGGCAGGUGUCACUGGCACUGUUACACAUAGUCUUCCAAGUUCUUUUUUCAUCAAGUGUGAGCGAGUUUUUAGUCUGGGAAAAAAUGUUUAACGUGUUGUAAUUUUUGGUUAGAAAAGGUUCUGGUUAAAGGUCACUGUGAACAGCAGGAGAAUUUUCUCUGUGUUUCUGAUUAGAGUCAGUUCUUGAGGCAGAGUUGCUCUCUGCGUACCAGUCAUUAGUGCUGGGCUGAAAUUCCAGAAAGAAGAGAUUGCCCUUCAUCUGGUUCGGUAAGUUCUGCAAGUCUGUUUAGAGUUUCUAUCAUAUCAGAUACUCUCUAUGCUUUAUUUACACUCAUUAUAUUAAUUCAGUACAAGUAAAGUUGUACCGAAUGAAACUUUCAUGCACACAGACAUUUCCUCAGCUCCAUAUAAAGGUACAGAGCAGUUUCAAUGCUUUGUGAUAUAAGGUCCUAUAAACAGUGCACUCUAAUUACAUCUCAGCUGCACAAAGAAAUUAAUAUUGGGCUUCUAGCUGUUCUUGUUUCUGGCAGGUGAUUUCCGAGGUGUCACCAUAAGACAGAUUCCAAGGCCUGCUGAGUACAUUAUAUGAAAUCAGUUUCUGGCCACACAUUCCCAAUAAGUGGCUCUCCCAUUUAAAAUUAUAUUGACAAAACCAUGCCAAAUUCUGCUGUCGGCUACCCCAGUGUAAACCCGCAGAGAUCCCAGGGAAGUCCAUAUAGACUGGCAUAACAGAGCAGUUAACUUGAGAGCAUUAACAUGAGCAGUGUGUGCUAAAUGAGAGAGAGUGUACUACAUUGUCCUGGUGCCAAAUUAUCUGCCACCAGGAAAUAACCAUUCCAACAUGCUCUUGAAUGUGGGGGUGCACAGGCAUGGUAGAUCUGCAAGAUUCACUGCUGGAGACAGUUCGGCCAACGUCACCUGCAGAUUUGAAAUCUUUCAUACAUCAAGUGCAGAGCCCAUUCCUUGGCUCCAGACCCCCCACCUAACAUUGGGAAGGUGUCAAACACCCUGAAUACUGGUGGGGAAUGGAUGGAUCAACCAUAUUAGGCACUUCUUCAGAGCCUGUGGCAGGAACCUGUAAGCUGAGCGUUUGCAUGUCCAACCCCAUGGGCAUGGUGGCCCAAAAGCAACCUGACACUGGAGUAGGGCUUGGAAGUAAUAAAACGGGCAUUUUCUUUGUUUAAACAGGAAGUAGAAGGCAGGAGUCUGACGGGUUCGGGGUGUGAGCGUGGGAACAUCACUGCGGCUGGGUCCACAUGGGGAGACUGUCACCCCUAAGAAAUUCUCAAACUGCCUCUAAAACUAUGUUAGACUGACACUGUACUCCUUAGAUGGGAUAGCUGGUGCUUGUCUCUGCACCUGAGAGCUCAUAUCAGUGUAUUCACACUCAUCCCUUGAACGGCCAUAUUGCUACAAGAGACGAGCUAAUGUCAAAAGAUCACAAGUUCAGGUUCAGUUCAGCUCGACAUCCAUGAGAUCAGAUACUGAUCUGGAAGAUUUUGAACAGGAGAUGGGUCUGACCUAGCAACCAAAUUCAGAUCUGGAUCCCAACUUUCCUGCUGUAUGAGGGGCAUUGUGCUAGGAUUCAUUGUUGUAGCUUCCAGUCCAUCUCUAAUCUGAACCUUUUGGGUUAGCAAGUAUGGGCUGGAAAUGUCACAAGAGCAGGGCUCUCAUGUGAGUUUGCUGGUCCUAACUACUUCUGUUUGGUCCAGAAAUACCACAAGAAGACCUUCUUUCACAGUGUUUCUGCCCUACCUUUUCCAAUUCAGCUGGAACCCAGCCAGGCAAGCUGGGUACAAAUGGAGAAAUAGGAAAGUGAAUUCUUUUGGUUCUCAGGUUUUUGUGUGAAGAUUAAAAUGAGAAGGAGGUUUCUCAUUUUAAGCAAAUCUAUUUAGCCAUCUCUGCUAACUCAUAUAUCCCUCUAUGUGUUGGCACCUAUAAAUCAUGUGCCAUUCCUCCUAGCCACAGAACUAUGAUACAUUUAGAAUCCUCCUCAUCCAAAUAUGUUUCUUGAAACAAGACAGUACCUGCCCUUUUUUUUAAUUUAAAGAGAGCUCCGAAUAGAAUCUCUGGCUCUCUUAAAACCAUGACCCUUCAGGGAAGUUUGGAGGAAAUCUAAAAUCAGACUUUGUAGUUGGUACAACUUCUAUAAUAUAAUGGACUGAUGACUUUAUUUCCCUUGGUGGAACUGUGAAGGCACUGGACGUCCCAUGGAAGAAACAUUAAGCUCUUCCCGGUAGCUCUCAGAAACAAUCCAGUUUUCUCUCCGACGACUUUGUCCUGCUCAGAGUUGGAAGACAUUCAGUCCCAUGUAUCUGUUUUCCACUGCCUUCCUGACGGUCUCGUUCUGCUCUCUGUAGCCUUCGGUUUUAAGACUAAAUCCUACUGCUUUGUGGUUUGUUUUGCAUUUUUUAAAACAUUCCAUACAGGAUGCUAAGUGUCCACGCAGUGCAUGGCCCUAUACGUGUCACCAGAAAAGCAGGGAAGCCUUCUCUGCUUCAGGAAUGUCCCUGGCAGAGGUGCCCACCAUCCACUUGGCUUUGUUGCCAGCCAGGAAGGGCGCUUCUGAACUCUGGCAGCUAUUAACGAGAAAACAGAUGCUUCAGGGUAGCAGGAACCUGCUGUUUCUAAGUAAUGCUUUUCUUCAAACAACUGUGGUGCUGUGAUGCGGUUGCCCUUGUAUGUUAAGUAGGGUUCAGUUGGGUCAGUAGUUGGAUGCGAGACCACCUAUGAGGUUCAGGAAGUGUUACUGGUGAAUCAGUUGGUGGUACUCCUCCCUCUGAAUCACUAAUGAACAAAUGGCCCGGACGGGUUUUAGUGUGCUGCUGAAAAUGCUGCCUUUUGGAUGACAUGUAAAAUCCUGACCACUUGUGAUUAUAAAAGCUCACACAUAAAAGCUUUCUUUAAGAGCAGGUCUUAACCUGGGGGUUGUUGCCAAAUUCCUACUGUGAUCAUUACAUCCUGCUUAUCUCCCCUGCAACUUCAAUUGGGUAAGUGUCCUUCUUUAACAGUGAAUAGCAACAUUACACAGCACAUUAGGAAGUAAACAGCUGCUGCGCUCCACCCCAGAACUGACUGCACUUCAGUGCAUGAUGGAAAGAUCCCUACAUCCCUUAUCUACCUCAGAGGCCGGUUUGUUGUGAGAAUUAUUUAGUCAGUGCUAGUAAAGCGCUUUGAGGUCUUCAGAGGAAGGGCUGAGGACAAUUAUUAUUUGUUAAUUAAAAAGAAAUUAUCCCAGUUUUGAGGCAUUCUCCUCCAUUUCAAAGGUGUGCAGUGCAUACUGUAGGAACCAUUACUGUGUAGACUGAUCAGAUAUGUCUAGGACUUGGAAUAAGAACAACGUCCUGACCUUUUGGGUUUAUGAAUGCCUGGCUGUGAGGAGUUGCAGAGUUUGUGGCCACAGUUCAUUCUCCUUUGGUUGAAAGCAUGCACACAUAAUGGGUCGGUUCAGACUGUGGCUUCAGGGUGCUCUUGGAUCCAGGGCCGGCUCCAGGGUAUUGGCCGCCCCAAGCAGCCAAAAAAAAAAAA